Molecule: ribosomal RNA, 253 nt
Filed under: uncultured bacterium
Lineage: Bacteria
Description: partial 16S ribosomal RNA
Rfam family: Bacterial small subunit ribosomal RNA
Source: RNAcentral
UACGGGGGGGGCAAGCGUUGUUCGGAAUUACUGGGCGUAAAGGGCGCGUAGGCGGUAGCACAAGUCAGUUGUGAAAUCUCCGGGCUUAACUCGGAAAGGUCAACUGAUACUGUGCGACUAGAGUGCAGAAGGGGCAACUGGAAUUCUCGGUGUAGCGGUGAAAUGCGUAGAUAUCGAGAGGAACACCUGCGGCGAAGGCGGGUUGCUGGGCUGACACUGACGCUGAGGCGCGAAAGCCAGGGGAGCGAACGGG